GGACUACACGGGUUUCUAAUCCUGUUUGCUCCCCACGCUUUCGUGCUUCAGCGUCAGUGUUGUCCCAGAUGGCCGCCUUCGCCACUGAUGUUCCUUCCGAUCUCUACGCAUUUCACCGCUACACCGGAAAUUCCACCAUCCUCUGACACACUCUAGCUGUCCAGUAUCCAUCGCCAUUCCCAGGUUGAGCCCGGGGAUUUCACGACAGACUUAAACAACCGCCUACGCACCCUUUACGCCCAGUAAUUCCGAUUAACGCUUGCACCCUUCGUAUUACCGCGGCUGCUGGCAC
RNAcentral lists this ribosomal RNA (292 nucleotides) under uncultured bacterium. Its description in RNAcentral is "partial 16S ribosomal RNA". The record is from RNAcentral.